AAAUGAAUUAGCGUUACAAGUGGGCUCUGACCGGUAAGCGGUCAUGGCGAAAUGGGAUGAACCAUACGUCUGAAUAAGGUGCCGAAAUGUACUAUCACUGAUACCAUAAAGGGAGUCCAUGUAUUUAGACAGCAGGUCGGUGCCCCUAAAAGCAGGUAUCCGCUAAAGAGUGUGUUAAAACUCACCUGCCGAAUACUAGGGCCCCGAAAAUGAAUGGCGCAUAUAGUACUACCGAUCUCAGACAUCAGUUCUAUUGAACUGAGAGUAGGGGGAUGUGGACAUUUUUGUGAAGGUGCAAUGUGAGUUGGACUGGAAGAAUGUCUAUUACAGAUCCUAAUUGAAGUAGCGAUUAUCCAGGCUUGUAUCCUGGGGGCUGAUGAGGAGUAGGGUUUCUGGACAACUUAAACAGAUCCAGAGUUAGUCGAUCCUAAUCUCAAUAAUGGGAGAAAGGGAGUACAGUUGAUAUUCUGUAACUGACAACAGUUCGCGGCAACGCAUACUAUUUUUCUCCGCCAAUCUUAUACCGUUGGUAGGGAUCUCUUUCCUACAUGACAGUACUAAUACCCAGGGAAACUGGUCAUCAGGCGAACUGCGGCGUUCUGCUGGCAAAACAUAGCUUCGGUUAUGUCAAUGGCUAUUGGAUUGGUCCAUGAAGCGAAAAAUAGUUUACUGUGUCACUCGUACCGAUAACCGCAUCAUGUCUUCUAGGUAAGUAGCCUAUGGCCAUUGAGGCAUGAUAGUUCAGGGAAUUCGGCCAAUUAGAGCUGUAACUUCGGGAUAAAGCUUGGCUCUGAUGAAAAUCAGAACCGAUUGUUACGCGGAGAGCCCAACUGUUUAAUAAAAACGUAGUGUCGCGCUGUGGUAGUAUAGCCAGUGAACGCGACAUGAAUCCUGCUCAGUGCUGUGUCUGUUAAUAUGGUUCAAG
This 925-nucleotide non-coding RNA is filed under the name Trichomonas vaginalis G3. RNAcentral's name for it is "Eukaryotic large subunit ribosomal RNA". It matches the Rfam family "Eukaryotic large subunit ribosomal RNA", at positions 1107 to 2231 of the family's 3401-position model. Lineage: Eukaryota; Parabasalia; Trichomonadida; Trichomonadidae. The record is from Rfam by way of RNAcentral.